AUUGAACGCUGGCGGAAUGCUUUACACAUGCAAGUCGAACGGCGGCACGGACUUCGGUCUGGUGGCGAGUGGCGAACGGGUGAGUAAUACAUCGGAACGUGCCCAGUCGUGGGGGAUAACGUAGCGAAAGCUACGCUAAUACCGCAUACGAUCUACGGAUGAAAGCGGGGGAUCGCGAGACCUCGCGCGAUUGGAGCGGCCGGUGGCAGAUUAGGUAGUUGGUGGGGUAAAGGCUAACCAAGCCGACGAUCUGUAGCUGGUCUGAGAGGACGACCAGCCACACUGGGACUGAGACACGGCCCAGACUCCUACGGGAGGCAGCAGUGGGGAAUUUUGGACAAUGGGCGCAAGCCUGAUCCAGCCAUUCCGCGUGCAGGAUGAAGGCCCUCGGGUUGUAAACUGCUUUUGUACGGAACGAAAAGGCUCUGGUUAAUACCCGGGGCUCAUGACGGUACCGUAAGAAUAAGCACCAGCUAACUACGUGCCAGCAGCCGCCGUAA
This 500-nucleotide ribosomal RNA is filed under the name uncultured bacterium. RNAcentral describes it as "partial 16S ribosomal RNA". It matches the Rfam family "Bacterial small subunit ribosomal RNA", at positions 30 to 523 of the family's 1533-position model. The record is from RNAcentral.